UCGGGAAUCUUCCGCAAUGGACGCAAGUCUGACGGAGCAACGCCGCGUGAGUGAAGAAGGAUUUCGGUUCGUAAAACUCUGUUGUUAGAGAAGAACAGCGCAUAGAGUAACUGUUAUGCGUGUGACGGUAUCUAACCAGAAAGCCACGGCUAACUACGUGCCAGCAGCCGCGGUAAUACGUAGGUGGCAAGCGUUGUCCGGAUUUAUUGGGCGUAAAGCGAGCGCAGGCGGUCAAUUAAGUCUGAUGUGAAAGCCCCCGGCUCAACCGGGGAGGGUCAUUGGAAACUGGUUGACUUGAGUGCAGAAGAGGAGAGUGGAAUUCCAUGUGUAGCGGUGAAAUGCGUAGAUAUAUGGAGGAACACCGGUGGCGAAGGCGACUAUCUGGUCUGUAACUGACGCUGAGGCUCGAAAGCGUGGGUAGCAAACAGG
Molecule: ribosomal RNA, 429 nt
Filed under: Bacteroidota bacterium
Lineage: Bacteria; Pseudomonadati; Bacteroidota
Description: Bacteroidetes bacterium partial 16S ribosomal RNA
Rfam family: Bacterial small subunit ribosomal RNA
Source: RNAcentral